GAGUUUGAUCCUGGCUCAGAUUGAACGCUGGCGGCAUGCCUUACACAUGCAAGUCGAACGGCAGCACGGGAGCUUGCUCCUGGUGGCGAGUGGCGAACGGGUGAGUAAUGCAUCGGAACGUAUCCUGGAGUGGGGGGAUAACGUAGCGAAAGUUACGCUAAUACCGCAUAUUCUGUGAGCAGGAAAGCGGGGGACCUUCGGGCCUCGCGCUCUUGGAGCGGCCGAUGUCGGAUUAGCUAGUUGGUGAGGUAAAGGCUCACCAAGGCGACGAUCCGUAGCAGGUCUGAGAGGAUGAUCUGCCACACUGGAACUGAGACACGGUCCAGACUCCUACGGGAGGCAGCAGUGGGGAAUUUUGGACAAUGGGGGCAACCCUGAUCCAGCCAUGCCGCGUGAGUGAAGAA
Molecule: ribosomal RNA, 404 nt
Filed under: bacterium enrichment culture clone ALO1_GLFRUDD03HIQG6
Lineage: Bacteria
Description: bacterial SSU rRNA
Rfam family: Bacterial small subunit ribosomal RNA
Source: RNAcentral